GACGAACGCUGGCGGCGUGCUUAACACAUGCAAGUCGAACGGUGAAGGGACCAGCUUGCUGGUUCUGGAUGAGUGGCGAACGGGUGAGUAACACGUGAGUAACCUGCCCCCUUCUUCUGGAUAACCGCAUGAAAGUGUGGCUAAUACGGGAUAUUCUGGGUCUGUCGCAUGGCGGGCCCGGGAAAGAUAUUGCUUCGGUGGGGGAUGGGCUCGCGGCCUAUCAGCUUGUUGGUGGGGUGAUGGCCUACCAAGGCGGUGACGGGUAGCCGGCCUGAGAGGGGGGACGGUCACACUGGGACUGAGACACGGCCCAGACUCCUACGGGAGGCAGCAGUGGGGAAUAUUGCACACUGGGCGCAAGCCUGAUGCAGCGACGCCGCGUGAGGGAUGGAGGCCUUCGGGUUGUAAACCUCUUUCGCCAGUGAAGCAGGCCUGCUCCUUGUGGGUGGGUUGACGGUAGCUGGAUAAGAAGCGCCGGCUAACUACGUG
RNAcentral lists this ribosomal RNA (489 nucleotides) under uncultured bacterium. RNAcentral's name for it is "partial 16S ribosomal RNA". It matches the Rfam family "Bacterial small subunit ribosomal RNA", at positions 28 to 507 of the family's 1533-position model. The record is from RNAcentral.